UACGGAGGGUGCGAGCGUUGUCCGGAAUCUUUGGGCGUAAAGGGCGCGUAGGUGGCCCGGUCAGUCAGUGGUGAAAGCGCGGGGCUCAACUCCGCGUCGGCCAUUGAUACUGCUGGGCUGGAGCACUGUAGAGGCAGGCGGAAUUCCGGGUGUAGCGGUGGAAUGCGUAGAGAUCCGGAAGAACACCGGUGGCGAAGGCGGCCUGCUGGGCAGUUGCUGACACUGAGGCGCGACAGCGUGGGGAGCAAACAGG
This 253-nucleotide ribosomal RNA is filed under the name uncultured bacterium. RNAcentral's name for it is "partial 16S ribosomal RNA". It matches the Rfam family "Bacterial small subunit ribosomal RNA", at positions 524 to 776 of the family's 1533-position model. The record is from RNAcentral.